This 2067-nucleotide long non-coding RNA is filed under the name Dendronephthya gigantea. RNAcentral describes it as "uncharacterized LOC114520071". The record is from RNAcentral. Lineage: Eukaryota; Metazoa; Cnidaria; Anthozoa; Malacalcyonacea; Nephtheidae.
UCUCUCUUCGUUAUAAUGUUUACUAGUUUAUGGUUUCCUUAAGUUUUUGUUUCCUGGUAUCAUUAAUAGAAUAAAGUGUUUUUAUUAUCAGUAGAAUAAAGUGUUUUAUUUGUUGUCUGUUCGAUAUCUUGUGUCUUCUUGAUGCAAUGCUAAAUUAUUGAGCAAGAAUAAGUGCAUUCACUGUUACCAUGACAAUCAGCAGCUCGCUGAUAGAUUAUCGUCAAAAAACAGGGUUGAACCUGUCAAUGAAUCUGCUGUAGUCCUGUUGGUGGUAAAAAAGGACUGGGCUCGAAUGAGUCGACUCCGUCAGGGUAGAGUUCUCCGGGACGGAGUUUAUUACCCGGCAGCUUUGCCCGGGUACCCGAUGGAACUAUGUUUCCUUUCCCCCAUUUCAGAUUGAGGAACUCAAUUUUGAUAAACACGCUUUGCGAAUUGCGAAAGCAGACAGACUACCGUGCAUUGUUUACUGAAAAGUUAUGAAAAAGGAAUUUUAAAUAUAAUUGCAAGAACUGAAAAGGUUUCCAUCGUACUUAUUACUCUCGAGGGUCGUGUGGCGAGCACGUUUCAGAAACCAAAACUUUCACAAGAAGCUGAUAUCACGAAUUACAAAUUUGUUCGUUUGUCGAUACUGUUUCUACCCGAAACAACCCGUUUUUGAUAUCCUUCAGAAUGACAGCGAAGUGUCAAAAUAAUAAAACACGUUCAGACCACGUGAUAUACCGAAUAUACAUGUACGUCAUCACUUUGACAAGUCAAUAUUGUGCGUAAUGUGAAAUUAAGUCCAAGUCUUAAAUCCAGGUUUUAUCUGAGAGCCAUUAAAUAUAUCUUUUAUGUUAGGAUAUGUCACUAAAGCGAGGAAUGUAUUAGUGAAAAUAACUGAACAAAAACAUCUUGCCAUUUCUAAUUUUGAUUGACGAUCAUUUCGUUAUAAAUUUUAUAUAAAUUAUAUAUCAGCCUUCAUGAUAUAGGUCCGUCAAAAGGGUCUGUUACGAAAAUACUUCGCUUGCACUUUUAUAUGUUGAAUAUUUGCUAUAGUGAUGUACAAUUAUACGACUUUCGCCCAUGACUGCACGUUAUUGAAAGGUUCCGUACUUUUUUAUUCACGAUAUUGAGCUGAAAUCCAUGACGAAUAUACGAUAGUUGCAGACUGAUAUAUACGUCAUUCAAAAGAACCACGUGAUCAGGAGAUAAGUGGUCCAUAGUUUGAAUGCUUUAAAAGCCAUCAAACUCAUCAUCUUGCUUCAUCGACAACAACGCCUAAUUGUUGGUCUAUAUUGAACAAAAGUACUAUUAACUUAAGUUACGACACUGCGGCUACCAAUAUGUUGGACAAAUUUUAUCUUUGUUUGGGAAUCGUGUUCAUUAUAGCGACUCUCGGAGAUGCUUUAAAAUGCGAUUUUUGCCAAUAUUCGUCGAAAGACCCGCCAUCCGCACAGAAGUGCGAAAGUAAGAUCGUCAACUGUACGACAGAGUACUGUUACACAGGUAUUCAAAUUGAUAGAAACGGAACAAGGUAUGUUGGAAGAGGUUGUGAUUUCACCGAUCCUGAGGACAAGUUAUGUCCUGAUAAAAAAGGGAGGGAAACGUGUGACAAAGCAAUAAAAAAGGAAGGUUUAAAAUCAUGUCACGUGGAGUGUUGUCAGAGCGAUAAUUGCAACAAUUACACCCCAAGCAGUGCAAAUGGCAUCAUGGCGACAAAGUUUACUACCGUCUUCCUGAUAAUCAGUCAGUUGUUGGGUCAACGUCUCGAACUCUAAGAUUUGUACAACAGCCAGUGUCGUUUAGUCUUUUACUAUAGUUUUAUUUGCUUCCGAACUUGUCGUAAUGGUUUAUUGAGGUGUCUGGGAAAUUUUAAUACUGACCACUGGUUUAGUUGAUAAAUAUCGCUUGAUUAUUAAUAAAGUGUUUUUAUUUGUUGUCAAUCAGAAUCGUGUAUUUCUCAGUUAACUAGGAUUUAACUAUGCCAAAUAUAGUUAAAGAGUUUUAUACAACUGACAAUGAACGUGUCAAUCAGAUAAAUGCAAAUACAACUGAAGGCGUACAGGAUGAAUGAGACUCGGAAACAUG